RNAcentral lists this ribosomal RNA (440 nucleotides) under uncultured bacterium. RNAcentral describes it as "partial 16S ribosomal RNA". It matches the Rfam family "Bacterial small subunit ribosomal RNA", at positions 338 to 795 of the family's 1533-position model. The record is from RNAcentral.
CCUACGGGAGGCAGCAGUGGGGAAUAUUGCACAAUGGGGGAAACCCUGAUGCAGCGACGCCGCGUGAGUGAAGAAGUAUCUCGGUACGUAAAGCUCUAUCAGCAGGGAAGAAAAUGACGGUACCUGACUAAGAAGCCCCGGCUAACUACGUGCCAGCAGCCGCGGUAAUACGUAGGGGGCAAGCGUUAUCCGGAUUUACUGGGUGUAAAGGGAGCGUAGACGGCAGCACAAGUCUGGAGUGAAAUCCCGGGGCUUAACCCCGGAACUGCUUUGGAAACUGUGCGGCUGGAGUGCAGGAGGGGUAAGCGGAAUUCCUAGUGUAGCGGUGAAAUGCGUAGAUAUUAGGAGGAACACCGGUGGCGAAGGCGGCCUGCUGGACGACAACUGACGGUGAGGCGCGAAAGCGUGGGGAGCAAACAGGAUUAGAUACCCCAGUAGUC